CCUACGGGUGGCAGCAGUGAGGAAUAUUGGUCAAUGGACGGAAGUCUGAACCAGCCAUGCAGCGUGCAGGAAGACGGCUCUAUGAGUUGUAAACUGCUUUUGUACAAGGGUAAACCUGAAUACGUGUAUUCAGCUGAAAGUACUGUACGAAUAAGGAUCGGCUAACUCCGUGCCAGCAGCCGCGGUAAUACGGAGGAUCCAAGCGUUAUCCGGAUUUAUUGGGUUUAAAGGGUGCGUAGGCGGAUUGAUAAGUUAGAGGUGAAAUGUCCGGGCUUAACUCUGGAACUGCCUCUGAUACUGUUGUUCUAGAGAGUAGUUGCGGUAGGCGGAAUGUAUGGUGUAGCGGUGAAAUGCUUAGAGAUCAUGCAGAACACCGAUUGCGAAGGCAGCCUACCAAUCUAUAACUGACGUUGAGGCACGAAAGCGUGGGGAGCAAACAGGAUUAGAUACCCUAGUAGUC
RNAcentral lists this ribosomal RNA (460 nucleotides) under uncultured bacterium. Its description in RNAcentral is "partial 16S ribosomal RNA". It matches the Rfam family "Bacterial small subunit ribosomal RNA", at positions 338 to 795 of the family's 1533-position model. The record is from RNAcentral.